This 887-nucleotide ribosomal RNA is filed under the name Setoseptoria scirpi. RNAcentral's name for it is "eukaryotic LSU rRNA". It matches the Rfam family "Eukaryotic large subunit ribosomal RNA", at positions 74 to 974 of the family's 3401-position model. The record is from RNAcentral. Lineage: Eukaryota; Fungi; Ascomycota; Dothideomycetes; Pleosporales; Lentitheciaceae.
AUUGCCCUAGUAACGGCGAGUGAAGCGGCAACAGCUCAAAUUUGAAAUCUGGCCUUCUUUGGGGGUCCGAGUUGUAAUUUGCAGAGGGUGCUUUGGUGUUGACAGCGGUCUAAGUUCCUUGGAACAGGACGUCACAGAGGGUGAGAAUCCCGUACGUGGUCGCUUGCCUCCGCCGUGUAAAGCCCCCUUCGACGAGUCGAGUUGUUUGGGAAUGCAGCUCUAAAUGGGAGGUAAAUUUCUUCUAAAGCUAAAUACUGGCCAGAGACCGAUAGCGCACAAGUAGAGUGAUCGAAAGAUGAAAAGCACUUUGGAAAGAGAGUCAAACAGCACGUGAAAUUGUUGAAAGGGAAGCGCUUGCAGCCAGACUUGCCCGUAGUUGCUCACCCGGACUUUUGCCCGGGGCACUCUUCUGCGGGCAGGCCAGCAUCAGUUUGGGCGACCGGAUAACGGCCUCUGUCAUGUAUCUUCCUUCGGGAUGACCUUAUAGGGGAGGCGUAAUGCGGCCAGCCCGGACUGAGGUCCGCGCUUCGGCUAGGAUGCUGGCGUAAUGGCUGUAAGCGGCCCGUCUUGAAACACGGACCAAGGAGUCUAACAUCUAUGCGAGUGUUUGGGUGUCAAGCCCGGGCGCGUAAUGAAAGUGAACGGAGGUGGGAACCCUUUCGGGGGCGCACCAUCGACCGAUCCUGAUGUCUUCGGAUGGAUUUGAGUAAGAGCAUAGCUGUUGGGACCCGAAAGAUGGUGAACUAUGCUUGAAUAGGGUGAAGCCAGAGGAAACUCUGGUGGAGGCUCGCAGCGGUUCUGACGUGCAAAUCGAUCGUCAAAUUUGGGCAUAUGGGCGAAAGACUAAUCGAACUAUCUAGUAGCUGGUUCCUGCCGAUCUCUCCUCU